RNAcentral lists this ribosomal RNA (301 nucleotides) under uncultured bacterium. RNAcentral describes it as "partial 16S ribosomal RNA". It matches the Rfam family "Bacterial small subunit ribosomal RNA", at positions 509 to 807 of the family's 1533-position model. The record is from RNAcentral.
CAGCCGCCGCGGGAAUACAGAGGGUGCGAGCGUUAAUCGGAUUUACUGGGCGUAAAGCGUGCGUAGGCGGCUAAUUGAGUCGGAUGUGAAAUCCCCGAGCUUAACUUGGGAAUUGCAUUCGAUACUGGUUAGCUAGAGUGUGGGAGAGGAUGGUAGAAUUCCAGGUGUAGCGGUGAAAUGCGUAGAGAUCUGGAGGAAUACCGAUGGCGAAGGCAGCCAUCUGGCCUAACACUGACGCUGAGGUACGAAAGCAUGGGGAGCAAACAGGAUUAGAUACCCGAGUAGUCCCCGUCUCUUAUAC